CCCUUAGAUGUUCUGGGCCGCACGCGUGCUACACUGAGUGGAUCAGCGGGUCAGGUUGCGCGAAAGUGUUUCCUAAUCUUUAAAUCCGCUCGUGAUGGGGAUUGACGGUUGCAAUUUUCCGUCAUGAACGAGGAAUACCUUGUAAGCGCGGGUCAUCAUCCCGCGCUGAAUACGUCCCUGCCCUUUGUACACACCGCCCGUCGCUCCUACCGAUUGAGUGGUCCGGUGAGGCUUUGGGAUCUGAGCAGAAAGAGCGUUUCGCUGUUUCUGCCCGGAAAACUCAGUCGAACCUUAUCAUUUAGAGGAAGGAGAAGUCGUAACA
This 322-nucleotide ribosomal RNA is filed under the name uncultured eukaryote. RNAcentral describes it as "partial 18S ribosomal RNA". It matches the Rfam family "Eukaryotic small subunit ribosomal RNA", at positions 1470 to 1796 of the family's 1831-position model. The record is from RNAcentral.